This 468-nucleotide ribosomal RNA is filed under the name uncultured bacterium. Its description in RNAcentral is "partial 16S ribosomal RNA". It matches the Rfam family "Bacterial small subunit ribosomal RNA", at positions 28 to 507 of the family's 1533-position model. The record is from RNAcentral.
GACGAACGCUGGCGGCGUGCCUAACACAUGCAAGUCGAACGGAAAGGCCCUGCUUUCGUGGGCUGCUCGAUUGGCGAUCGGGUGCGUAAGACGUGAGUAACCUGCUCUAGACUUUCGGAUAACUUCAGGAAACUAGGGCUAAUAUCGGAUAGGAGCUCCUGCUGCAUGGUGGGGGUUGGAAAUUCUCGGCGGUUGGGGAUGGACUCGCGGCUUAUCAGCUUGUUGGUGGGGUAGUGGCUUACCAAGGCUGUGACGGGUAGCCGGCCUGGGAGGGUGACCGGGCACAGUGGGACUGAGGUACGGCCCAGACGGCUACGGGGGGCAGCGGUGGGGAAUAUUGCACAGUGGGCGGAAGCCGGAUACAACGACGCCGCGUGCGGGAUGACGGCCUUCGGGGUGUAAACCGCUUUAGCCUGUGACGAAGCGUGAGUGACGGUAAUGGGUAAAGAAGCACCGGCUAACUACGUG